RNAcentral lists this ribosomal RNA (468 nucleotides) under uncultured bacterium. Its description in RNAcentral is "partial 16S ribosomal RNA". It matches the Rfam family "Bacterial small subunit ribosomal RNA", at positions 28 to 507 of the family's 1533-position model. The record is from RNAcentral.
GACGAACGCUGGCGGCGUGCUUAACACAUGCAAGUCGAACGGAAAGGCCCUGCUUUUGUGGGGUGCUCGAGUGGCGAACGGGUGAGUAACACGUGAGUAACCUGCCCUUGACUUUGGGAUAACUUCAGGAAACUGGGGCUAAUACCGGAUAGGAGCUCCUGCUGCAUGGUGGGGGUUGGAAAGUUUCGGCGGUUGUGGAUGGACUCGCGGCUUAUCAGCUUGUUGGUGGGGUAGCGGCUUACCAAGGCUUUGACGGGUAGCCGGCCUGAGAGGGUGACCGGCCACAUUGGGACUGAGAUACGGCCCAGACUCCUACGGGAGGCAGCAGUGGGGAAUAUUGCACAAUGGGCGGAAGCCUGAUGCAGCAACGCCGCGUGCGGGAUGACGGCCUUCGGGUUGUAAACCGCUUUCGCCUGUGACGAAGCGUGAGUGACGGUAAUGGGUAAAGAAGCACCGGCUAACUACGUG